CCCUUAGAUGUUCUGGGCUGCACGCGCGCUACACUGAUGCGUUCAACAAGUGUUAACCUUGCCCGAUAGGGUUGGGUAAUCUUUUGAAAGCGCAUCGUGAUGGGGAUCGAUGACUGCAAUUGUUCAUCUUCAACGAGGAAUUCCUAGUAAGCGCAAGUCAUCAGCUUGCACUGAUUACGUCCCUGCCCUUUGUACACACCGCCCGUCGCUCCUACCGAUUGAGUGCUCAGGUGAAUAAUUCGGACUACAGCAAUGUUUGGAUCCCGAACGUUGCAGCGGAAAGUUUAGUGAACCUUAUCACUUAGAGGAAGGAGAAGUCGUAACA
This 325-nucleotide ribosomal RNA is filed under the name uncultured eukaryote. RNAcentral describes it as "partial 18S ribosomal RNA". It matches the Rfam family "Eukaryotic small subunit ribosomal RNA", at positions 1470 to 1796 of the family's 1831-position model. The record is from RNAcentral.